This 497-nucleotide ribosomal RNA is filed under the name uncultured bacterium. RNAcentral describes it as "partial 16S ribosomal RNA". It matches the Rfam family "Bacterial small subunit ribosomal RNA", at positions 28 to 507 of the family's 1533-position model. The record is from RNAcentral.
GAUGAACGCUGGCGGCGUGCCUAAUACAUGCAAGUCGAGCGAACGGACGCGAAGCUUGCUUUUCUGAUGUUAGCGGCGGACGGGUGAGUAACACGUGGAUAACCUACCUAUAAGACUGGGAUAACUUCGGGAAACCGGAGCUAAUACCGGAUAAUAUUCUGAUCCGCAUGGUUCAUAAGUGAAAGACGGUCUUGCUGUCACUUAUAGAUGGAUCCGCGCUGCAUUAGCUAGUUGGUAAGGUAACGGCUUACCAAGGCGACGAUGCAUAGCCGACCGGAUAGGGGGAUCGGCCGCACUGGAACGGGGCCACCGUCCUGACUCCUGCGGGAGGCAGCAGUAGGGUAUCUUCCGCAGUGGUCGGAAGCCUGACGGAGCAGCGCCGCGUGUGUGAUGACGGUCUUCGGAUCGUAAAGCUCUGUUAUUAGGUAUGAACAUAUGUGUAAGUAACUGUGCACAGCUUGACGGUACCUGGUCAGAAAGCCACGGCUAACUACGUG